GAUGAACGCUAGCUACAGGCUUAACACAUGCAAGUCGAGGGGUAACGAGAGGAAAGCUUGCUUUCCUUGUCGACGACCGGCGCAUGGGAGAGUAACGCGUACCCAACCUGCCCCCAACUAGGGAAUAACCUUGCGAAAGUAAGACUAAUACCCUAUAAUUUCCUCAGAUGCCAUCUGACGAGGAAUAAAGAUUUAUCGGUUGUGGAUGGGGAUGCGUCUGAUUGGCUUGUUGGCGGGGUAACGGCCCACCAAGGCAACGAUCAGUAGGGGUUCUGAGAGGAAGGUCCCCCACAUUGGAACUGAGACACGGUCCAAACUCCUACGGGAGGCAGCAGUGAGGAAUAUUGGUCAAUGGGCGGAAGCUUGAACCAGCCAAGUAGCGUGCAGGAUGACGGCCCUAUGGGUUGUAAACUGCUUUUAUACAGGAAUAAAGUUAGCCACGUGUGGUUAUUUGUAGGUACUGUAUGAAUAAGGACCGGCUAAUUCCGUGCCAGCCGCCGCUGUAA
RNAcentral lists this ribosomal RNA (506 nucleotides) under uncultured bacterium. RNAcentral describes it as "partial 16S ribosomal RNA". It matches the Rfam family "Bacterial small subunit ribosomal RNA", at positions 28 to 523 of the family's 1533-position model. The record is from RNAcentral.